GACGAACCGUGCGAACGUUGUUCGGAAUCACUGGGCUUAAAGGGCGCGUAGGCGGGCAUUCAAGUCAGGGGUGAAAUCCUCCGGCUCAACUGGAGAAGUGCCUUUGAUACUGGCGAGCUCGAGGGAGGUAGGGGUGUGUGGAACUUCUGGUGGAGCGGUGAAAUGCGUUGAUAUCAGAAGGAACGCCGGUGGCGAAAGCGACGCACUGGACCUCUUCUGACGCUGAGGCGCGAAAGCUAGGGGAGCAAACGGG
Molecule: ribosomal RNA, 253 nt
Filed under: uncultured bacterium
Lineage: Bacteria
Description: partial 16S ribosomal RNA
Rfam family: Bacterial small subunit ribosomal RNA
Source: RNAcentral